RNAcentral lists this small nuclear RNA (191 nucleotides) under Dasypus novemcinctus (nine-banded armadillo). RNAcentral describes it as "U2 spliceosomal RNA (ENSDNOG00000031737.1)". It matches the Rfam family "U2 spliceosomal RNA". From Rfam's summary of the family: U2 is a small nuclear RNA (snRNA) component of the spliceosome (involved in pre-mRNA splicing). Complementary binding between U2 snRNA (in an area lying towards the 5' end but 3' to hairpin I) and the branchpoint sequence (BPS) of the intron results the bulging out of an unpaired adenosine, on the BPS, which initiates a nucleophilic attack at the intronic 5' splice site, thus starting the first of two transesterification reactions that mediate splicing. The record is from RNAcentral. Lineage: Eukaryota; Metazoa; Chordata; Mammalia; Cingulata; Dasypodidae.
AUCACUUCUCGGUCUUCUGGCAAAGAUCAAGUACAGUAUCUGUUCUUAUCAGUUUAAUAUCUGAUACAUCCUCUAUCCAAGGACAAUUUAUCAAAUGGAUUUUUGGCACUGGGAGAUGGAUUAGGGGCUUGCUCUAUCCACUCCAUGCAUCAACCUGGUACUGCUGUCCUUCCAGGAACAGCACAAAAAAA